Molecule: unclassified non-coding RNA, 249 nt
Filed under: Hevea brasiliensis (rubber tree)
Lineage: Eukaryota; Viridiplantae; Streptophyta; Magnoliopsida; Malpighiales; Euphorbiaceae
Source: RNAcentral
CCUGCUGUGAGCUGAAGAUUGGGAUCAUCAACAUAUAUUAUAAGUAGGAUUAGUCCAGCUUUAAAAUGUCUAAAAAACACCGAAUAAUCAAACUUGCUCUUUUGCAUACCAAACUGCUGAACUACCUCACUGAACCUGCCAAACCAAGCUCGAGAACUCUGUUUCAAGCCAUAAAGGGAUUUUCGAAGUCUACAUACUUUGCCUAACUCCCUCUGAGCAACAAAUCCUGGUGGUUGCUCCAUAUAUACU